GUACUGUCACAUUUCAUAUGAAACUUAAGGCCAAGUUUUGGUAGUAAGGAAUGGGGAGUAAUAACGUAUGAAGUGUUGACUGUUGCAGAGGCUAUACCAUUUUUCCAACACCGAAUACAGACAUGAUGCUAAGGCCUAUUUGCUAAACCUAUAAUUCCUAUGAUAAUUCUGUGGAUCUAAGCACUGUAGACAUACAGAUGAUGUACAUUUAUAACUGCUUCACCUCAUGGGAGAAAACUUCUUAUCGUGGUCUGUGGCUGAAUAUUUAACAAUUGGCAUGAGUUUUACUAAUUGCUUAUCCAGCUCUGAUAGCAAUCUGCUCUUUGUUACCUUUCAGCUUAAUAAGAUCGCAGAAUGCUUUUUCUGAGGUGAUUCUCCUUCUGUUUCCUUGCGAAUGUUCAUCGAAACCAAGUUUUGUAUUGAGUAGUUAAGUAACGGAACCAUGUUAGCAUCUGAGCCGUAUUAGUUUGAAGCCUUUAUUGGACUCCAUGCAACCUAUAACGAAGUCUUCUUUUGUGCUUUGGUUGGCUCUGCUUUCCAGCUGGGGAUCCUUUCCCAUUCCACGGGCAGGCGCAUUUAUCAUCAACCGUAAGGUUCUCUCUCUGAUGCUCCUGAUUUAAGUUAUAUUUUGCUACCAGCUUGCAGCUAGCAAUUGCUUUGCAGAUUACCUUCCUCACUAAAUAUCAUUAGGUCAUCUCGAUUACGUUCAUUUUCGCAACUUGUUGAGCUGCUUCCUUCAGGCACUGUUGGAUAGAUUUGCCCUUUCUACUGACUCAAAUCUAUUUUUUAUAUUAUGUCGGCACCAUUACUCUCUGAAACUGAAUGAUAUUUGAUACAUCUGACGGUUUCUUCCUCAUUUAUAAGAGUUUUAUUCCUCCAAAUGCAUCGUUCGGAUUGGAAACUGUUUUUACUUGAAUCAAAGAUGAAAGGCCUCUCUCAUGCAUCAUAUAAAAGGAAUUCCUGAUCCAAAUGGAGGGAUCUGGAUGAGUAAAAUAUUGCCCCUCGAAGCUAUUCCCUCCAGAUCCCUCAAUCCAAAUAAGUCAUAAAGAGUACCCCCCCCCCGGCAGAAAUUUCUACCCUGCACGUGGCACGCAUAAUCGCUCAGGUUGCAAGUGGACGCCAGCCGCAUGCCCGUGCCUAUCCGAGAACAAAAGCGGGCCUCCGCACAGCACAAGAACCUUUGGGGUACAGCGACCCGACGCACCUCGGUUUCUAACCAUUUGGCAUGAAAGAUGAGACAAAAGAUGCAGACAAAACACGAUGGUCUUAAUGUAGAAGUUUAUCAUGGGAGAAAUAUAAUAUUGUCAUGCAAAUAUGGCAUGUGCGAGAAUUGAAAGACAAGCGGAACAAGCUACCUAGCGCAUGGCGAAACGGGACAUGGUCGAAGCCGUAAAUCGGAAAACAUUAAAGUAACAAGCCGGGGAAAGUCAUAGGUAUGUUGGUUUGCAUCACACGUGACAUAAUCUCCUGGUCUUUAAUUAUUAUAUAUCUUUUGCGCCCUCUUACUCCAUUGCAUUCGUUCGUUCAUUCAUGCAUUUCCAUUCAUUUUAAAGUGAAGAUAACGUAAAGGCCUUCAAGACCAAACAAAAGCAUCUCUUCAGGGAAUAAGGGAUAAUAAUAAUCACACAAGUCCAAGGCCUUGUGGAUAAUCAUAACUUUUGAAGUAGUUUUCAGCUCUUUAGCCGUAGAUGCUUCAGUACCCAUCUUUCUACAAUGGUCAUUUGUCUUCUUUCUUUCUCCAUAUAUGCUUUCUGUCCGAGUGAAUUGCCGGGACUGCCCCGCGAUUCUUCGAUAAUUGCAGACGCGGGUCGAGUCGAGUCGAGUCGAGUCCAGGAUAUGUUAGGACUCAUGCAGAUAAUUAAUAUAUUGAUCUUUUCAAGGUGAUCAAUAGUACUGAUCAAGCAACCGUUGCUCGUGAAGUGUAUAUAUUUCCUAAGUCCUGUUGUGAUUGUCAAGCAGUUGGGAGCUGUCCCUUUUUGCAUUCAAAGCCUGUGACUUCACCUCUUCUCCAAGCACUACUAGACAUCCCUCAUUUGGCUUAUUAGACGAACUUCAUUAAUUUCGUCAAAUCAUGAUAUUAAAAUCUUGCGAGCAUGCCGUGCGUGUUCUGUCAGCUGAGAGAGAAAGAAGUAUAUACUAAUUCUAUAUGCCCCAUAAUAGGAUUGUUAGACUGUAAGGCUAAUAGAAAGAUA
Punica granatum (pomegranate) is the source of this 2192-nucleotide non-coding RNA. The record is from RefSeq and is a predicted model, not a curated record. NCBI's taxonomy places the organism in Eukaryota, Viridiplantae, Streptophyta, Magnoliopsida, Myrtales, Lythraceae.